GGUUGCCUGUUUGAGAGCGAGCUGUGUUCACCAUAUGAGAUCUGUGUGAACGAGCUGUAAUGGGGCUCAUCUUGAAGGAGCUGACUCAGCAUGGAAGAGACUACGGUUCCAGUUCCACUUUAAUUGACCUUCGUUAACUCGACAAGAGCAGAGCUGAUUUCUCGGCUGCCCAAUGUGUGCUGUGGAGAAGUGUUGUUAUUCCUGUGCUGAAUACAGAGUGUGUAAAACAUCAGGCCUGCGGAUUUUUACAAGAAAACAUUAAAACCAUGAAAAGCA
This is a long non-coding RNA of Hippoglossus stenolepis (Pacific halibut), 276 nucleotides long. RefSeq lists it as uncharacterized. The transcript has 2 exons. Lineage: Eukaryota; Metazoa; Chordata; Actinopteri; Pleuronectiformes; Pleuronectidae. The record is from RefSeq and is a predicted model, not a curated record.